This 520-nucleotide unclassified non-coding RNA is filed under the name uncultured Glomus. RNAcentral describes it as "SSU rRNA". It matches the Rfam family "Eukaryotic small subunit ribosomal RNA", at positions 569 to 1091 of the family's 1831-position model. The record is from RNAcentral. Lineage: Eukaryota; Fungi; Glomeromycota; Glomeromycetes; Glomerales; Glomeraceae.
AGCAGCCGCGGUAAUUCCAGCUCCAAUAGCGUAUAUUAAAGUUGUUGCAGUUAAAAAGCUCGUAGUUGAAUUUCGGGAUCAAAGGAUCGGUCAUGCCUUGGUAUGUACUGGUUUUAUUGGUUCUCACCUUCUAAAGAACCAUAAUGUCAUCCAUUUGAUGUUAUGGGGAAUUAGGACUGUUACCUUGAAAAAAUUAGAGUGUUUAAAGCAGGCUUACGCUUGAAUACAUUAGCAUGGAAUAAUGAAAUAGGACAUCAGAUUCUAUUUUGUUGGUUUCUAGGAUCGAUGUAAUGAUUAAUAGGGAUAGUUGGGGGCAUUAGUAUUCAAUUGUCAGAGGUGAAAUUCUUGGAUUUAUUGAAGACUAACUACUGCGAAAGCAUUUGCCAAGGAUGUUUUCAUUAAUCAAGAACGAAAGUUAGGGGAUCGAAGACGAUCAGAUACCGUCGUAGUCUUAACCAUAAACUAUGCCGACUAGGGAUCGGAUGAUGUUAAUUUUAUAAUGACUCAUUCGGCACCUUAC